CAGCCGCCGCGGUAAUACCGGCGGCCCGAGUGGCGGUCACUAUUAUUGGGCUUAAAGCGUCCGUAGCCGGGUUGGGAAGGCCUCCGGGAAAUCUGGCCGCUUAACGGUCAGAAUGCCGGAGGAUACUCCCAGCCUAGGGGGCGGGAGAGGCCGAGGGGAUUCCCGGGGUAGGGGUGAAAUCCUAUAAUCCCGGGAGGACCACCUGUGGCGAAGGCGCUCGGCUGGAACGCGUCCGACGGUGAGGGACGAAGGCCAGGGGAGCAAACCGGAUUAGAUACCCGGGUAGUCCUGGCUGUAAACGAUGCGGACUUUGUGUCGGACAAGCUAUGAGCUUGUCCGGUGCCGGAGGGAAACCGUUAAGUCCGCCGCCUGGGGAGUACGGCCGCAAGGCUGAAACUUAAAGGAAUUGGCGGG
RNAcentral lists this ribosomal RNA (414 nucleotides) under uncultured microorganism. Its description in RNAcentral is "bacterial SSU rRNA". It matches the Rfam family "Archaeal small subunit ribosomal RNA", at positions 459 to 872 of the family's 1478-position model. The record is from RNAcentral.